This 292-nucleotide ribosomal RNA is filed under the name uncultured eukaryote. RNAcentral describes it as "partial 18S ribosomal RNA". It matches the Rfam family "Eukaryotic small subunit ribosomal RNA", at positions 6 to 299 of the family's 1831-position model. The record is from RNAcentral.
GGUUGAUCCUGCCAGUAGUCAUAUGCUUGUCUCAAAGAUUAAGCCAUGCAUGUCUAAGUAUAAACUGCUUUAUACUGUGAAACUGCGAAUGGCUCAUUAAAUCAGUUAUAGUUUAUUUGAUGGUACCUUACUACCGGAUAACCGUAGUAAUUCUAGAGCUAAUACGUGCGUAAAUCCCGACUCCUGGAAGGGACGUAUUUAUUAGAUUUAAGGCCGACCCGGCUCUGCCGGUCUCGCGGUGAAUCAUGAUAACUUCACGAAUCGCAUGGCCUUGUGCCGGCGAUGUUUCAUU